This 513-nucleotide ribosomal RNA is filed under the name Russula sp. MHM063. RNAcentral's name for it is "eukaryotic LSU rRNA". The stretch from base 210 to 363 matches the Rfam family "5.8S ribosomal RNA". The record is from RNAcentral. Lineage: Eukaryota; Fungi; Basidiomycota; Agaricomycetes; Russulales; Russulaceae.
AGGAUCAUUAUCGUACAAUGGAGGUGCAAGGGCUGUCGCUGAUCUUUAAAAGGUUGUGCACGCCCUGGUACUCUCUCACACAUCCAUCUCACCCCUUUGUGCAUCACCGCGUGGGUGACCCCCCUUACGGGAGGGCUCACGUCUUCACAUAAAACUUAAUAUAGUAUAGAAUGUUUUCUUUUUUGUUUGCGGUCACACGCAAUAAAUACAACUUUCAACAACGGAUCUCUUGGCUCUCGCAUCGAUGAAGAACGCAGCGAAAUGCGAUACGUAAUGUGAAUUGCAGAAUUCAGUGAAUCAUCGAAUCUUUGAACGCACCUUGCGCCCCUUGGCAUUCCGAGGGGCACACCCGUUUGAGUGUCGUGAAAUUAUCAAAAACCAUUUCUUUCUUUUAUAGAAAAGGAUUUUGGACUUGGAGGUUUGAUGCUUGCUCUUGUCAAUGAAAGUGAGCUCCUCUCAAAUGAAUUAGUGGGGUCUGCUUUGCUGAUCCUUGACGUGAUAAGAUGUUUCUAC